CAGCCGCCGCGGUAAUACCGGCGGCCCGAGUGGCGGUCACUAUUAUUGGGCUUAAAGCGUCCGUAGCCGGGGUGGGAAGUCCUCCGGGAAAUCUGGCCGCUUAACGGUCCGAAUGCCGGAGGAUACUCCCAGCCUAGGGAGCGGGAGAGGCCGAGGGGAUUCCCGGAGGAGGGGGGAAAUCCUAUAAUCCCGGGAGGACCACCUGUGGCGAAGGCGCUCGGCCGGAACGCGUCCGACGGUGAGGGACGAAGGCCAGGGGAGCAAACCGGAUUAGAUACCCGGGUAGUCCUGGCUGUAAACGAUGCGGACUUUGUGUCGGACAAGCUAUGAGCUUGUCCGGUGCCGGAGGGAAACCGUUAAGUCCGCCGCCUGGGGAGUACGGCCGCAAGGCUGAAACUUAAAGGAAUUGGCGGG
RNAcentral lists this ribosomal RNA (414 nucleotides) under uncultured microorganism. RNAcentral's name for it is "bacterial SSU rRNA". It matches the Rfam family "Archaeal small subunit ribosomal RNA", at positions 459 to 872 of the family's 1478-position model. The record is from RNAcentral.